RNAcentral lists this ribosomal RNA (488 nucleotides) under uncultured bacterium. RNAcentral describes it as "partial 16S ribosomal RNA". It matches the Rfam family "Bacterial small subunit ribosomal RNA", at positions 30 to 507 of the family's 1533-position model. The record is from RNAcentral.
AUUGAACGCUGGCGGCAGGCCUAACACAUGCAAGUCGAACGGUAACAGGAAGAAGCUUGCUUCUUUGCUGACGAGUGGCGGACGGGUGAGUAAUGUCUGGGAAACUGCCUGAUGGAGGGGGAUAACUACUGGAAACGGUAGCUAAUACCGCAUAACGUCGCAAGACCAAAAAGGGGGACCUUCGGGCCUCUUGCCAUCGGAUGUGCCCAGAUGGGAUUAGCUAGUAGGUGGGGUAACGGCUCACCUAGGCGACGAUCCCUAGCUGGUCUGAGGAUGACCAGCCACACUGGAACUGAGACACGGUCCAGACUCCUACGGGAGGCAGCAGUGGGGAAUAUUGCACAAUGGGCGCAAGCCUGAUGCAGCCAUGCCGCGUGUAUGAAGAAGGCCUUCGGGUUGUAAAGUACUUUCAGCGGGGAGGAAGGGAGUAAAGUUAAUACCUUGGCUCAUUGACGUUACCCGCAGAAGAAGCACCGGCUAACUCCGUG